RNAcentral lists this ribosomal RNA (905 nucleotides) under uncultured bacterium. Its description in RNAcentral is "partial 16S ribosomal RNA". It matches the Rfam family "Bacterial small subunit ribosomal RNA". The record is from RNAcentral.
GGCCGCGGGAAUUCGAUUAGAGUUUGAUCAUGGCUCAGAUUGAACGCUGGCGGCAUGCCUUACACAUGCAAGUCGAACGGCAGCGCGUCCUUCGGGAUGGCGGCGAGUGGCGAACGGGUGAGUAAAGCAUCGGAACGUGCCCGGUAGUGCGGGAUAGCUCGGCGAAAGCCGGAUUAAUACCGCAUGAGAUCCGUGGAUGAAAGCAGGGGACCCCUUGUGGGCCUUGCGCUACUGGAGCGGCCGAUGUCAGAUUAGGUAGUUGGUGGGGUAAAGGCCCACCAAGCCUGCGAUCUGUAGCUGGUCUGAGAGGAUGAUCAGCCACAUCGGGACUGAGACACGGCCCGAACUCCUACGGGAGGCAGCAGUGGGGAAUUUUGGACAAUGGGCGCAAGCCUGAUCCAGCCAUGCCGCGUGCAGGAUGAAGGCCCUCGGGUUGUAAACUGCUUUUGUACGGAACGAAAAGCCUCUUUCUAAUAAAGAGGGGUGAUGACGGUACCGUAAGAAUAAGCACCGGCUAACUACGUGCCAGCAGCCGCGGUAAUACGUAGGGUGCGAGCGUUAAUCGGAAUUACUGGGCGUAAAGCGUGCGCAGGCGGUCUUGCAAGACAGUGGUGAAAUCCCCGGGCUCAACCUGGGAACUGCCAUUGUGACUGCAAGGCUGGAGUACGGCAGAGGGGGAUGGAAUUCCGCGUGUAGCAGUGAAAUGCGUAGUAUGCGGAGGAACCGAUGGCAGGCAGUCCCUGGGCCUGUACUGACGCUCAUGCACGAAAGCGUGGGGAGCAAACAGGAUUAGAUACCCUGGUAGUCCACGCCCUCGAUGUUUGGGAUUUAUUUUCCUCAGUACGACUAACCGUAGUUGACCGCUGGUAGCGAACUAUGACGGGACCGCAGAAUGGUAUCGAAAC